CAGCCGUAAACAAUGUGCGUUAGGUGUGUCGGUAACCACGCGUUACUGAUGCGCCGAAGAGAAAUCGUGAAACGCACCACCUGGGAAGUACGGUCGCAAGGCUGAAACUUAAAGGAAUUGGCGGGGGGAGCACCACAACAGGUGGAGCCUGCGGUUUAAUUGGAUUCAACGCCGGACAUCUCACCGGAUAAGACAGCUGAAUGAUUGUCAAUCUGAAGGUUUUACAUGACUAGCUGAGAGGAGGUGCAUGGCGUAGACGU
Molecule: ribosomal RNA, 260 nt
Filed under: uncultured archaeon
Lineage: Archaea
Description: partial 16S ribosomal RNA
Rfam family: Archaeal small subunit ribosomal RNA
Source: RNAcentral